This 482-nucleotide ribosomal RNA is filed under the name uncultured bacterium. RNAcentral describes it as "partial 16S ribosomal RNA". It matches the Rfam family "Bacterial small subunit ribosomal RNA", at positions 30 to 507 of the family's 1533-position model. The record is from RNAcentral.
AUUGAACGCUGGCGGCAUGCCUUACACAUGCAAGUCGAACGGUAACAGGUCUUCGGAUGCUGACGAGUGGCGAACGGGUGAGUAAUACAUCGGAACGUGCCCAGACGUGGGGGAUAACGAGGCGAAAGCUUUGCUAAUACCGCAUACGAUCUAAGGAUGAAAGCAGGGGACCGCAAGGCCUUGUGCGUUUGGAGCGGCCGAUGGCAGAUUAGGUAGUUGGUGGGAUAAAAGCUUACCAAGCCGACGAUCUGUAGCUGGUCUGAGAGGACGACCAGCCACGCUGGGACUGAGACACGGCCCAGACUCCUACGGGAGGCAGCAGUGGGGAAUUUUGGACAAUGGGCGAAAGCCUGAUCCAGCAAUGCCGCGUGCAGGAUGAAGGCCUUCGGGUUGUAAACUGCUUUUGUACGGAACGAAAAGGCUCUGGCUAAUACCUGGGGCACAUGACGGUACCGUAAGAAUAAGCACCGGCUAACUACGUG